UGCCUUUCUCUCAUGGCCUUGAGGCUGCCAUUCCAGUGCAGCAGCUGGAAGACUGUCAUCAGCUCCUGGGGGAAGGAGAUUGAAGGACCAAGACAGUGAUUUUAUAUUGGCAAGCUGCAUCUAAAUGACGUGGGGGACCUUUUACAAAGCCAACGAGGCCAUAUGGAGAAAGCUGCUGGUACCCACAGGAACUUUGGGCUGAGAAGUCCAUCUGUGCCAGGACUUGCCCAUCUGCUGAUCUGAUGGAGAGGAUCGACCUCAUGGUCCACUGAUAGCCUAUUCGAAGUAUCUAAGAGUGGCAUGUCCUACCAGUUGGGAAGCUACCAGUUAGGAAGCCAUACUUCUACAUCUAACAUGGUUAAACCAACACAUCUAUUCAACAAACAUUUAUCAUAGAAUACUUGAUAUCAAAGACAUACAAUCAAAGAGACAAAACAAAACAAAAAACCCUACAAACCCACAUACAGAAUUACAGCCUGAGACACAUGGACCUUGUGACAUGCAAGAUUGACAGAGGAAACAGAAAGAACAGACACGGAGACAGGUUUAUCAUGAAGACACCAAGAUGGGAAAGUCAUGAAAGAUUUACAGCAGUGGAAGUAGGAGAGGCCAGGGACGGCCUUCAGAUUACAGCAAAGGUCUGACACCUGUGGGAAAGAGAGAUGGAAGAAAGUUUGGAUUUGAGAGUCUCAGACUGUAGUGCAGUUCCCAGAAAGCUUUGGCCUAGUAGGAAACCCUCAUGCCAAAGGCAUCCUGCAUCCCACCAGGAUGUGUCUGCCUUAAUAUUCCCACGGUGUUCAGCCAUUGGCUGAGAACAGCAUACGGGAAACGUGACCUCAGUGCAAAUGUGGAAUGGACCCAGAGAAGGCAACAGCUAGGCUGGUAGUUAUGCUCCCUGAAGCAGGAAAGUUGAAUAGCCCAUUUUCAUGGCUGCCACACACACAUUAACCAAAAAUAUGAACACUUGAGAGGUGGAUAGCUCCAUUCUAGGCAUUAAGGAUGAAGAAAAAAAAUCAACAAACAAACAAAUACCACAGUCCUUGCCAGCAAGGUGAUCAAAAUGUAGUGGUGCAUAGUAACAGUUUUCUCGCCUGCUCAGCAGCCCCUGGGCACCCCAUGUACCCACUGAGAGUUUGAAAAGCAGCGUAAGUUCUUUCUAAUGUCCUAUAUUUAACUGACUUUAGAAUGUUUAUUCUCUUAUUAAAAGACAGCAUGAAAAGGAAACACUCUUUCCCACCAUUGGUUUUGGCAAGGGCUCUUCAAAGGUCACACCGCCCAGAAAACUUAGCCAUUGUCGUUGUUUCCACUGAGAUCUUUUCAGUGCCAGUUCCCUCUUUGAGACAAUCUAGCACAAUGCACUGGCUGACAGCUCCCCUGACAGCCAAACAACGGGGAGAACUGUGGGAUAAAGAGGAAGGGGGGAGACCACCAUAACUGGGAAAGUCCUAUUUGAAACCAUAGGUCUACCCCACAUCCAGUUAAAUCUCACUUGGCACAGAGUUACAGGACUAUUUUUUAAUGACUGCUCAAAGCCAAAGGAAAUGGAGAGUUCUGCUUCAGAAAUGUGAAUAUGAAAUGAGACAUUGAGAAAGUGGUCCAGAAAAAAGCAAUUAACCGUGAUCUGCAUCUGAAAAUGCUCAUGGACUUUUUCAUUUUUAGAGCUGGAAGGAACUUCAGAGAUUAUCUGGCCCCACUUUAAGCUACGGAAGGACAAAGGACUUGCUAGGGGUCACAGGGCUGUGACAGAGUUUGGGAUAUGGAUCUAGAUAUCCCGAGGCCAAUGUUCUCUCCAAUCUGGGGAUCUCAAUCCAGGGCCCAAGAUGCAGUCCAUGACUGAGCUUCACAGAGGCUCACGAGCCCCCUAAAACUGUUGAGUAAAAUUGUGUGUGUGCAUUUGUGUGUGUAUGAAUAUUUGUACAUGGUGAGCGCACAGCCCAGCGUUUUUAUCUGAUUUUCAGUGAGGAACCAUGAAUAUAAUCGCUUACAAACAGAUAAAGAACAGUGAGUUAGGAGACAUACGCAUAUACGACAGCUACAUUUGUUUUCUGGAAGUCUCUGACAGAUGCAGGUCUGAAAGGGACAAGAAACACCAAGGUAGUUCAUAAUGUUUAAGUGUUUGCACCGUUAUGUUGAACAAGAACAAAAAUGAGCAUAGUUUGACUUUUACCCUUAGGAGAUAAAAUAAUAGAUGAAUGUCUACAUGGAAUGAGAUAAUCUGUCCAUCAGAAUAAAAACACUAAACCAACACAUUAAACUAUGGUCAAAACUUUAUAUCAUAUGAAUUAAAUACAAUUUUGUGGUGAGGGAGCAGAGAUAAUGAAUAGAAGGUGAAAUUGAGUGGUAAGUAAAAAGACUCCCCCUGAUCAUAAAGGAUGUUGGGAACAGGCUGGCCCAGGUUACUUCACAUUUUUAUGACCAAGAGAGAAGCCAUUAUUAUGGCAAUAUUUCAUCUGAUAGUUCGAAUUCUAGUUGUUAGAGCAUAUCCAUGAACAGCCCACAGUGCACAGUCUUUUUGGAAGGGAGGGAGUAACAGUGACCUUGGGGAGGACAAUUGUAGGCUGAAUAAAACCUCCUGCCAAACUGUCUAAUAUCCUAAUCUUCAGAACCUGUGAUGUUACCUUAUACGGCAAAGCCUUUGCAGAGUGUUUAAGUUAAGGAAUCUGAGUUGGGGAGUUUAUCCUGGAUUUUCUGGAUGGGCCCUAAAUGCAAUCACAAGUGUCCUUAUAAAAUGAAGUCAGAUUUAACAAAACAAAAAGGAGCAGGCAUGAGGCAGAGAUCUCUACCACAGAGGCUGAGUUUGGAAUGAUAUAGUCAUGAGCCAAGGAAUGCAGGCAGCCACCAGAAGCAGAAAGAAGCAUGGAACAGAUUCUCCCCUGGAGCUUCUGGUGGGGGGAGGGGGACACAUGACUGCAGAUACCCUGAUUUUCACAUAGUGAUGCUGAUUUUGCACUUCUGAUCUCCAGAACAGUGAGAGAAUAAAUUUCUUUUGUUUCAAGCCACUGAUUUUCUAAUGGUUUGUUACAGCAGCCACAGGAAACUAAUAUAGGGAUUAAUUCACAUUUCCAAAAAUUGGAAAUAUUGAGACCAAUUAAUUUAAUUCCAGUCACAGGAAAAAAAAACCCUGUGAUUCUGAGGAAAAAAAAGCAACUAAACAGAAAACACUACACAAGGUUCAUUUGUUCAACCUAGUGGACUAGCUGGGCAAAAUCUCCAAUCAUGAAGCCAUACUAUAAAAUAAAGUGAGAGCAAUAAUCCCCAAACAAUAGGGCUGAAGACUACAAGGGCAAGGAAAGUGAUUUGCUCAAUCACGCCAGUUUAUGAAUUGCCAGAUGUCAAAUAUGAGAAGGGGACUACAUGUCAAUGAGGGGGCAAAGGAAAUGGUGAGGCUAACAAAGCCUAUCAUACAUACACUUCAAAAUGCAUAGCAAUAGCAUCUACUUGUUGAGUACCGUGUGCUGCACAUGCUGCAUUCAUUAUCUCAUUUAAUCCUCACAAAACUAUCAAGAGAUGUAUUAUAAUACUGAUCUGUACAAAAGCAAACUAUUUCAGAAACAAACCAGAAGUAGCAGAACCAAGAUUUAGAGACAUUUAUUGGUCUCAAAGCCAGCCUUCUUUCUUCUGUACUAUCCUGCUUUAUUGCACCAUUAAUUUUCACACAUGCUCUAUUUAACAGAAUAUGAGCUCCAUCGAGGUAGGGACUAACUAUCUGUCUUGUUUACCAUGUAACUGGUGAUCAAUAAAUAUUUGGUAAAUGAAUGGAACAGAUGAGGCAUAGAGAUUAAGCAGUUUCUCCAAGAUCACACUAUUUAACAGGGCCAGGCACUCUUGAUUCCAAAUCCUAUGCAAUAUAAACUGACGGAAGAUCCUACAGCAUACUGAGCUGUGUACUUAUCCUGGAUGGGUGGGAGUGGGGAAGAGAUAAACACAAACAGGUGAAACAACAGAACAGUUUUGCAUAUAAAUGUUGAAAUCCUCUAUGAGAGAUGGUAAAUCUAAAGACUUUGACUGGAAAAGUUAACUCGGAGCAGUCAGGAAGAAGCUGAAGGAUGUGAAUUGAAGAUGAUGUGGUAAAGCAUUGCUGGAUCUGGGAAUGGUUUGGGUGGAGACCAAAGUAAAUUGUAUUCUCGCAAAUCCCAUGCCAUCAGUCACAAGGGUAUGUGGGUAUGUGCCAGUGGCAGCUUUGCCUAUUAAUCAAAGCGGAAUAAAUGAUUCCAUGUGGAGAAGGGCUUCUGAGCCAAAUCGGCAGAGAUUUUGCUUGCCUGAAGCUGAAUUAUCUGCCAAACUCUCCUCAAGGACUGGCUGGGUACCCAGGCUGGAAAUGAGAACUUCAACAAUAAUGAGCCAGACUGUGAGAGGAAGUGGGAGGUUGGAGGAGAAAACCACCAAGGUCUGAAGCCUGACCGAUUGCUUUCUGUCAGCACAGUCCCCUCAUUCCCUCAGCCCUGCUAAGGAAAUGAGAACGUUUUUACAGAACACUCGGUGUGGAAGCAAAGCCACAGGCUCUCCAAGGAGCACAGACAAGCGGUCUGUGCCCAGAGUCAGGAGAGCCUUCCUGGGUCUCAACUUAAACAGACCUGAAGGAGCAGGAGAGUACCUGGUGGCAGUUCUAGCCCAUAGCCUUCUUAACCCUAGGAUUUGAGUAGAAAAAGAACUAUAUUUCCUUAUGAUGAAUUUCUGAAUCCUAACCAUUUGUAUCCUUAGUACCUAGCAAGGCCCUUGCCCCAAAGCAAGAUUUCAAAUUCUAUGAGGAAUCAUAGACAAUUAAUGAAUACAUCACUAGGCACAUAAAGAAAAGUGGAUCUAAAAAUCAGUUUUUAUUGAAAUCUUUGAGUUUACGCCAUCUGGGUUUACGAGUGGGAGGAAAUAAAUGUGUUUCUUAAGGAAAUUUGACCCAACAAGUUUGAUAUAAGAAUUAUUUUUAAAUAUCCAGUAAGUAUCAGUUGAAGUGGCUCAGUUAAUCCCUAUCAUAAUCUUUGAGGAAACUAAAGCACAGGCAUUAAGUCCCUUCGCCCAGAGAUAUAGCUGGCCAGUGACAGAGAUUUCCAAAGCCUAUGUGUGCUCUUUUCACAACACUUCCCCCCUCCCCCAAAAAUAAAAAACAGUUAUUGUCUAUAGAGAAAGCCCUGCAACCCUUUUUAUUGUUAAACUAGAAAGUUAAAGAUACAGUCAGUCACUUCCAGGUCAGGCAGGACCUGGUCCAUCAGACACAAGAGAUGUCUUCAAAAUCCCAGACUUAGAUCCUGGCUCCCACACCCUCCACUAUGUAUUCCUUGUCCCUUAUGCUGUAAAUCUGGAACUCCAACCCAACAGGAAACUCUACAUUGGUUAAACAAAAACAACAAAGAAAACCCUCACGUGCCCUUUCCCAGAAAUUAGGCAUCUUCAAGAUGAUGAUUUCUAACCGAAAUGGAGUUUCUAGCUGGCUCCUUUCCACGGAAUUUAACAUCGAGAGAGAGAGCCAAGACCUGGAAUUUAUCCUCCGUUCCUGGGCUAGGGCCAGACAGACAGAGAGACCAGAGUUGUGAGGCCCCCAUACUAAAAAAGACAUCCAAGUACUAAGUCACAGGAAGCUGCUGUGGGCUCAGUGGGACCGGGCCAGAAAAAGGCACAAUUCUUUGGGAGCAACUUGUGAGGGCACCCCCUAACUCCCCAGCAAAUCUGAAGUUAGAAAUUCCAGAGUGAAGGUAAGUACGUGAAGAAUUAAACAGUCAGGAUGAAGGAAAUGGAGUUCAGGAAUCGCCGAGAUGGCAGAAGAAAUGCUGAGGGCAUAUGGAUGAGAAAGUGCCUUGAAUCUGAGAUAAAGGACAGGAUCGCACACAAUGGGGACUGCUUCGCAGAGGUCAAGAAAUGUGAAGGCAUUAAGCUACAGCAGGAAUUCCAUUUCUGAAGAGAAAGGUUGGGAAGAAAGGAUUGUUUCAAAUAAAAAAAAAUUGGGGUCCCUGGAGAAUAUAUUAAUAACCCGAUGAAGGGGAGGGGUGGAAGGUUUAAAUGUGUGUAUUGUGCGUUUGUGCAUGUGCGUCUGUGCAGCCCAGAAGGAAACUCCCCAAAAGGAAAUGCGUGUGGGGACUCCACGCCAGGAAAAGCGAUCCGGAGGGCUGUGAGAGCGGGGCCCCUUUUCGGAGGGUGUCCCGCAGGAGGCCAGACCCGCAGACUCACCU
Oryctolagus cuniculus (rabbit) is the source of this 6158-nucleotide non-coding RNA. The record is from RefSeq and is a predicted model, not a curated record. Lineage: Eukaryota; Metazoa; Chordata; Mammalia; Lagomorpha; Leporidae.